Molecule: long non-coding RNA, 140 nt
Organism: Sinocyclocheilus rhinocerous
Lineage: Eukaryota; Metazoa; Chordata; Actinopteri; Cypriniformes; Cyprinidae
Exons: 3
Source: RefSeq, a predicted model, not a curated record
GCUGGACGUUAUCUUGGAGGGGCAGCAUACAGACCCACUGCGAUCAGAGGAGGCCUGAAACAAGGAUAUGGAACACUUGGUUAUGGAGGAGCUGCAAACCUUGGAACUGGCCUCGGGGCUGCCAGGCUGGGACUCGGCAC